CCAGGCCAGCAUCGGUUCGCUGUGGGGGAUAAAGGCUUUGGGAAUGUGGCUCCUCCGGGAGUGUUAUAGCCCAUUGUGUAAUACCCUGUGGUGGACUGAGGUUCGCGCAUCUGCAAGGAUGCUGGCGUAAUGGUCAUCAGCGA
This 143-nucleotide ribosomal RNA is filed under the name Ilyonectria sp. RNAcentral describes it as "partial large subunit ribosomal RNA". The record is from RNAcentral. Lineage: Eukaryota; Fungi; Ascomycota; Sordariomycetes; Hypocreales; Nectriaceae.